CAGAGUUCUCGCCCUCACGGGUAGAUCUCCCACCCACUGUUAUCGUUACUGUCGUUUCUUUGGCGGGCCGCCAGGUCCCUGGCCGCCGGCACUCCAGCUGGCGUGUGCCCGCCAGAGGCCUUCAAACUCUGAAUGUUAGUGUCGUCUGAGUACUAUAUAUAAUAGUUA
This 168-nucleotide unclassified non-coding RNA is filed under the name uncultured Oidiodendron. RNAcentral's name for it is "sequence contains ITS1". Lineage: Eukaryota; Fungi; Ascomycota; Leotiomycetes; Myxotrichaceae. The record is from RNAcentral.